Long non-coding RNA from Carcharodon carcharias (great white shark), 330 nucleotides. RefSeq lists it as uncharacterized. The record is from RefSeq and is a predicted model, not a curated record. The transcript has 3 exons. Lineage: Eukaryota; Metazoa; Chordata; Chondrichthyes; Lamniformes; Lamnidae.
CAGCUCUCAUUAGUUGCAAGAGAGAUCUGAGCGAGACCUCUCCGGCUGCACUGAGAAUCGCUCGAAAUAAAAGUCCGACAGACUCCUGGGAGGCACGCCAAUGACUAAAAGUGACAUCAGCACAAAGUCUCCAUAUUCUAAGAAGGCGAGGGGUCAAUGCACAAAAAAUUACCUGGAUGAUACCAGAACAGAGUGCAACAUUUGUACCAAACUCUUCGAUGUUGUCGUGAACCGAGAGAGUCUUUCAAAACACAGUCCGCAUUCACACGCUUGAAUUCAAGUCAAUCUCAUUGACUGCAAUAGAAAACCAUCAUUACAGUACAACACAAA